AUCUAAAUUUGGGUGUCCAGCAGCUCAGUGGGCCCACUGGGACAAGCCAGCCAGGGCAUACUUGGAGAUGGCUAUCUCCUCCUCAAAGCAAAGCAAGGAAAGAUCAGCGGGGUGCUGGGAUCCGUCUCAGGGCAUCAGCCUUCUGGGGCGUUCCAGACCGGGGUGUGUGGAGAGGGAGGCUGCGCGAGGCGGGGAGGGGAGAAGCAAGAAGGUGGGGAGGAAAGAGCGUUUAAGAGUAGAGGAGAGAAGAGUAAAUGGAAAGAGAAAGGAAGGGAAGGGAAGGCGGAGCCAGGGGAGGGGCGAGGAGACGGUGACGAAGUCGCGCUUCCAACUUCCCACUGUGCACCCGGUGGGAUCCUUCAUCCCCGCAGGGGCACCUGGAGAGGAGGUGUAGGAGCCGCGGGCGGGGCUGAGAGGGGAGAAAGAAGGAGCAGGGGAGAAAAACAAAGGGGUGAGAGCUCGGCGCCAAGGCCGGGAGGUUUUACCGACGCCCUAGGGGGUGGGGUGGAGGAGGUGGGGCGCGGACCGGCUCCCACGUGCUCCCUUAGCUCCUAGAAGCCCCGAGGCGAGUCCCGCAGCCGCCCGGCCCGCUCCCUGGGUUGCCUUCCACCUACUGUUUGCUCCUGGCUUUCAAUUCAGUGGUGGAAUGUUUCCACCAUUUCCUUCCUGAGGCUGAAGUUGAGGCCCACUGUCUCCGCUGGUUUUAAAAGCAGAAGUAAAGUGUAAAGAAGAGGGAAAUGGCUCUGAUGCAGCAUUUACAUAAGAAACACAUUCAGAAAAAAAGAGGCUGUGAUUCUGAAAGCGUCCUUAUUAUACUGCACUAAAAAUCUCCCCUGGGAUCGGUGGAGGUUUAAAUUAGCUGGGAAGAGGAGGAAAUAAAAUCUGUCUUUUCAAAUUGCAAAUCUCUCCCAAACUGAACAUUUCGCCCGAGGAAACGGCCACACUGUGUUCAGGAGCAGACAAAGCCCUCUUUGAGUGAGGGCCCCACCUUCUCCAGCCUUCAUUACAAUUCCCUGCCUCCUCCUACAUCCGCUGGACAAGUCCUGACACCGCGCUCCUGGGCUAUGUCUUAGUCAUUGAGAGAGAUCUCAAGGAGGCCCUUGUUUUUAGUGGGUGUGCAGUUUGCUCUAAAAAUGUGUCCACCACCCAUGUAAUUGACUUGAGAAAUCAAAGUCAGUGGAAAGAGCACAAAAUGUCAUCCACUUCUACAGGUUUCUUUUAUGAAUGGGUGUAUUCAUUUAUGUUUUCUCCAACAGCUAUCAAAUAUUUGCAUGUUAAACGGCAAAGAAUUUCACAGAAUGCCAUCAA
Long non-coding RNA from Bubalus bubalis (water buffalo), 1308 nucleotides. RefSeq lists it as uncharacterized. The record is from RefSeq and is a predicted model, not a curated record. NCBI's taxonomy places the organism in Eukaryota, Metazoa, Chordata, Mammalia, Artiodactyla, Bovidae. The transcript has 2 exons.